CUGGGCGUUAAGUUGCAGGGUAUAGACCCGAAACCCGGUGAUCUAGCCAUGGGCAGGUUGAAGGUUGGGUAACACUAACUGGAGGACCGAACCGACUAAUGUUGAAAAAUUAGCGGAUGACUUGUGGCUGGGGGGGAAAGGCCAAUCAAACCGGGAGAUAGCUGGUUCUCCCCGAAAGCUAUUUAGGUAGCGCCUCGUGAAUUCAUCUCCGGGGGUAGAGCACUGUUUCGGCAAGGGGGUCAUCCCGACUUACCAACCCGAUGCAAACUGCGAAUACCGGAGAAUGUUAUCACGGGAGACACACGGCGGGUGCUAACGUCCGUCGUGAAGAGGGAAACAACCCAGACCGCCAGCUAAGGUCCCAAAGUCAUGGUUAAGUGGGAAACGAUGUGGGAAGGCCCAGACAGCCAGGAUGUUGGCUUAGAAGCAGCCAUCAUUUAAAGAAAGCGUAAUAGCUCACUGGUCGAGUCGGCCUGCGCGGAAGAUGUAACGGGGCUAAACCAUGCACCGAAGCUGCGGCAGCGACGCUUAUGCGUUGUUGGGUAGGGGAGCGUUCUGUAAGCCUGCGAAGGUGUGCUGUGAGGCAUGCUGGAGGUAUCAGAAGUGCGAAUGCUGACAUAAGUAACGAUAAAGCGGGUGAAAAGCCCGCUCGCCGGAAGACCAAGGGUUCCUGUCCAACGUUAAUCGGGGCAGGGUGAGUCGACCCCUAAGGCGAGGCCGAAAGGCGUAGUCGAUGGGAAACAGGUUAAUAUUCCUGUACUUGGUGUUACUGCGAAGGGGGGACGGAGAAGGCUAUGUUGGCCGGGCGACGGUUGUCCCGGUUUAAGCGUGUAGGCUGGUUUUCCAGGCAAAUCCGGAAAAUCAAGGCUGAGGCGUGAUGACGAGGCACUACGGUGCUGAAGCAACAAAUGCCCUGCUUCCAGGAAAAGCCUCUAAGCAUCAGGUAACAUCAAAUCGUACCCCAAACCGACACAGGUGGUCAGGUAGAGAAUACCAAGGCGCUUGAGAGAACUCGGGUGAAGGAACUAGGCAAAAUGGUGCCGUAACUUCGGGAGAAGGCACGCUGAUAUGUAGGUGAAGUCCCUCGCGGAUGGAGCUGAAAUCAGUCGAAGAUACCAGCUGGCUGCAACUGUUUAUUAAAAACACAGCACUGUGCAAACACGAAAGUGGACGUAUACGGUGUGACGCCUGCCCGGUGCCGGAAGGUUAAUUGAUGGGGUUAGCGCAAGCGAAGCUCUUGAUCGAAGCCCCGGUAAACGGCGGCCGUAACUAUAACGGUCCUAAGGUAGCGAAAUUCCUUGUCGGGUAAGUUCCGACCUGCACGAAUGGCGUAAUGAUGGCCAGGCUGUCUCCACCCGAGACUCAGUGAAAUUGAACUCGCUGUGAAGAUGCAGUGUACCCGCGGCAAGACGGAAAGACCCCGUGAACCUUUACUAUAGCUUGACACUGAACAUUGAGCCUUGAUGUGUAGGAUAGGUGGGAGGCUUUGAAGUGUGGACGCCAGUCUGCAUGGAGCCGACCUUGAAAUACCACCCUUUAAUGUUUGAUGUUCUAACGUGGACCCGUAAUCCGGGUUGCGGACAGUGUCUGGUGGGUAGUUUGACUGGGGCGGUCUCCUCCUAAAGAGUAACGGAGGAGCACGAAGGUUGGCUAAUCCUGGUCGGACAUCAGGAGGUUAGUGCAAUGGCAUAAGCCAGCUUGACUGCGAGCGUGACGGCGCGAGCAGGUGCGAAAGCAGGUCAUAGUGAUCCGGUGGUUCUGAAUGGAAGGGCCAUCGCUCAACGGAUAAAAGGUACUCCGGGGAUAACAGGCUGAUACCGCCCAAGAGUUCAUAUCGACGGCGGUGUUUGGCACCUCGAUGUCGGCUCAUCACAUCCUGGGGCUGAAGUAGGUCCCAAGGGUAUGGCUGUUCGCCAUUUAAAGUGGUACGCGAGCUGGGUUUAGAACGUCGUGAGACAGUUCGGUCCCUAUCUGCCGUGGGCGCUGGAGAAUUGAGGGGGGCUGCUCCUAGUACGAGAGGACCGGAGUGGACGCAUCACUGGUGUUCGGGUUGUCAUGCCAAUGGCACUGCCCGGUAGCUAAAUGCGGAAGAGAUAAGUGCUGAAAGCAUCUAAGCACGAAACUUGCCCCGAGAUGAGUUCUCCCUGACUCCUUGAGAGUCCUGAAGGAACGUUGAAGACGACGACGUUGAUAGGCCGGGUGUGUAAGCGCAGCGAUGCGUUGAGCUAACCGGUACUAAUGAACCGUGAGGCUUAACCUU
This 2260-nucleotide ribosomal RNA is filed under the name Escherichia coli 6-537-08_S3_C3. RNAcentral describes it as "bacterial LSU rRNA". It matches the Rfam family "Bacterial large subunit ribosomal RNA", at positions 688 to 2925 of the family's 2925-position model. The record is from RNAcentral. Lineage: Bacteria; Pseudomonadati; Pseudomonadota; Gammaproteobacteria; Enterobacterales; Enterobacteriaceae.